RNAcentral lists this ribosomal RNA (1486 nucleotides) under uncultured rumen bacterium. Its description in RNAcentral is "bacterial SSU rRNA". It matches the Rfam family "Bacterial small subunit ribosomal RNA". The record is from RNAcentral.
AGAGUUUGAUCAUGGCUCAGGACGAACGCUGGCGGCGCGCUUAACACAUGCAAGUCGAACGGACGAUUCAGAAUCGGAGAUUCGUCGAAGAAUCUGGAAAGUUAGUGGCGAACGGGUGAGUAACACGUGAAGAACCUGCCUCUUAGAGGGGGAUAACACUUAGAAAUAGGUGCUAAUACCGCAUAUGACCACACUACCGCAUGGUAGAGGGGUGAAAGGAGAAAUCCGCUGAGAGAUGGCUUCGCGUCCGAUUAGCUAGAUGGCGGGGUAACGGCCCACCAUGGCGACGAUCGGUAGCCGGACUGAGAGGUCGAUCGGCCACAUUGGGACUGAGACACGGCCCAGACUCCUACGGGAGGCAGCAGUGGGGAAUAUUGCACAAUGGAGGAAACUCUGAUGCAGCGACGCCGCGUGAGGGAAGAAGGUUUUCGGAUUGUAAACCUCUGUCCUCGGGGACGAAGAAAUGACGGUACUCGGGGAGGAAGCCACGGCUAACUACGUGCCAGCAGCCGCGGUAAAACGUAGGUGGCAAGCGUUGUCCGGAAUUACUGGGUGUAAAGGGAGCGCAGGUGGGCUGACAAGUCAAAUGUGAAAUGCAGGAGCUCAACUCCUGAACUGCGUUUGAUACUGUUGGUCUUGAGUGGAGUAGAGGAAAGCGGAAUUCCCGGUGUAGCGGUGGAAUGCGUAGAUAUCGGGAGGAACACCAGUGGCGAAGGCGGCUUUCUGGGCUCUAACUGACACUGAGGCUCGAAAGCGUGGGUAGCAAACAGGAUUAGAUACCCUGGUAGUCCACGCCGUAAACGAUGAUUACUAGGUGUGGGUGGACUGACCCCAUCCGUGCCGCAGUUAACACAAUAAGUAAUCCACCUGGGGAGUACGGCCGCAAGGUUGAAACUCAAAGGAAUUGACGGGGGCCCGCACAAGCAGUGGAGUAUGUGGUUUAAUUCGAAGCAACGCGAAAAACCUUACCAGGGCUUGACAUCCCUCUGAAAGAUCUCUUAACCGAGAUCCUCCUUCGGGCAGAGGUGACAGGUGGUGCAUGGUUGUCGUCAGCUCGUGUCGUGAGAUGUUGGGUUAAGUCCCGCAACGAGCGCAACCCUUGCCGUCAGUUACUAACAUUAAGUUGAGGACUCUGACGGGACUGCCGAGGUCAACUCGGAGGAAGGUGGGGAUGACGUCAAAUCAUCAUGCCCCUUAUGUUCUGGGCUACACACGUGCUACAAUGGUCGGUACAAUGAGAAGCAAGAUGGCGACAUGGAGCAAAUCACCAAAACCGAUCCCAGUUCGGAUUGCAGGCUGCAACUCGCCUGCAUGAAGUCGGAGUUGCUAGUAAUCGCGAAUCAGCAUGUCGCGGUGAAUGCGUUCCCGGGUCUUGUACACACCGCCCGUCACACCAUGGAAGUUGGGGGCGCCCAAAGUUGGCUAAUCAAUCUGCUACCUAAGGCGAAACCAAUGACUGGGGUGAAGUCGUAACAAGGUAGCCGUA